This 375-nucleotide ribosomal RNA is filed under the name uncultured organism. RNAcentral's name for it is "partial 16S ribosomal RNA". It matches the Rfam family "Bacterial small subunit ribosomal RNA", at positions 524 to 897 of the family's 1533-position model. The record is from RNAcentral.
GGGAGGGGGGGCAAGCGUUAUUCGGAUUUACUGGGCGUAAAGCGCACGUAGGUGGCAUGGUAAGUCAAAGGUGAAAGCCCUCGGCUCAACCGAGGAACUGCCUUUGAAACUGUUUUGCUUGAGUCCGGGAGGGGGAGCGGAAUUCCCAGUGUAGCGGUGAAAUGCGUAGAUACUGGGAGGAACACCGGUGGCGAAGGCGGCUCCCUGGACCGGUACUGACACUGAGGUGCGAAAGCGUGGGUAGCAAACAGGAUUAGAUACCCUGGUAGUCCACGCCGUAAACGAUGGGCACUAGGUGCAGCGGGUGUCGACCCCUGCUGUGCCGUAGUUAACGCAUUAAGUGCCCCGCCUGGGGAGUACGGUCGCAAAGGCUGA